This 498-nucleotide ribosomal RNA is filed under the name Triticum aestivum (bread wheat). RNAcentral's name for it is "partial small subunit ribosomal RNA". The record is from RNAcentral. Lineage: Eukaryota; Viridiplantae; Streptophyta; Magnoliopsida; Poales; Poaceae.
AUGCCUGCGGAUUCACACCCGGGUACCUCUGCCGUCUCUGUCUGCCUCAGAGCUAACUCCAUCCGAGCCACCGCGGCCUCUCCGCCACUCGCCGCGGCCUUGCCUUCCGCUGCUAGGACGCCGGCCACUAUCGUCUGCCGUGAGCUGUCACGCCUCAAUGGCCUUGAGCUCGCUGCGGCUCUACCUCGCCGCGCUCCGCCUCUCCACCGUGGACUUGCCGGGGCCCUCCAAGCCGCCCCUGGUUCAACCCGCUGCCUCCAACUUGGUGAACCGCCACGGUCUGCGGCUGCGCCGAGUUACCUUCGACUCAGGGGCCACACCCAGGGAAGGGGAGGCGCGGGGAGCGGUUUCGAGCCGCCGGCUCUGCUAACUCGCCGCUCCGAUUAUGUUUCCUUCUUGCCAAGCGGUCUCGUUUUCAAACUUGCUAUCACCAUGGUAAACCGCCGGCUGCGCCUCUCGUCACCACCUGGAGUCACACAUGCCUUACCUCUUUCAUAA